Molecule: ribosomal RNA, 440 nt
Filed under: uncultured bacterium
Lineage: Bacteria
Description: partial 16S ribosomal RNA
Rfam family: Bacterial small subunit ribosomal RNA
Source: RNAcentral
CCUACGGGUGGCAGCAGUGGGGAAUAUUGCACAAUGGGGGAAACCCUGAUGCAGCGACGCCGCGUGAGUGAAGAAGUAAUUCGUUACGUAAAGCUCUAUCAGCAGGGAAGAAAAUGACGGUACCUGAGUCAGAAGCCCCGGCUAACUACGUGCCAGCAGCCGCGGGAACACGUAGGGGGCCAGCGUUAUCCGGAUUUACUGGGUUUAAAGGGAGCGUAGACGGUUCUCCAAGUCCGGAGUGAAAUGCCGCAGCUUAACCGCGGAACUGCUGUGGAAACUGGCGAACUCGAGUGUGGGAGGGGUAAGCGGAAUGCGUAGUGUAGCGGUGACAUGCGUAGAUAUUAGGAGGAACACCGGUGGCGAAGGCGGCUUACUGGACCGUAACUGACGUUGAGGCUCGAAAGCGUGGGGAGCAAACAGGAUUAGAUACCCGGGUAGUC